RNAcentral lists this non-coding RNA (122 nucleotides) under Desulfomonile tiedjei. RNAcentral also lists the same sequence under 1 other name. The record is from RNAcentral. Lineage: Bacteria; Pseudomonadati; Thermodesulfobacteriota; Desulfomonilia; Desulfomonilales; Desulfomonilaceae.
GGAACACGGUGCAAUUCCGUGGCGGACCCGCCGCUGUAAUCGGUGACGAAGCUCGCAUAGCCACUGUUCGGUUCCAACUGAAUGGGAAGGGCGAGCGGAGGAAGACCCGAAAGCCAGAAGAC